UCGGGAAUAUUGCGCAAUGGAGGAAACUCUGACGCAGUGACGCCGCGUGCAGGAAGAAGGUUUUCGGAUUGUAAACUGCUUUAGACAGGGAAGAAACAAGACAGUACCUGUAGAAUAAGCUCCGGCUAACUACGUGCCAGCAGCCGCGGUAAUACGUAGGGAGCAAGCGUUAUCCGGAUUUAUUGGGUGUAAAGGGUGCGUAGACGGGAAGACAAGUUAGUUGUGAAAUCCCUCGGCUCAACUGAGGAACUGCAACUAAAACUAUCUUUCUUGAGUGCUGGAGAGGAAAGUGGAAUUCCUAGUGUAGCGGUGAAAUGCGUAGAUAUUAGGAGGAACACCAGUGGCGAAGGCGACUUUCUGGACAGUAACUGACGUUGAGGCACGAAAGUGUGGGGAGCAAACA
This 403-nucleotide ribosomal RNA is filed under the name uncultured bacterium. RNAcentral's name for it is "bacterial SSU rRNA". It matches the Rfam family "Bacterial small subunit ribosomal RNA", at positions 355 to 774 of the family's 1533-position model. The record is from RNAcentral.